RNAcentral lists this ribosomal RNA (497 nucleotides) under uncultured bacterium. RNAcentral describes it as "partial 16S ribosomal RNA". It matches the Rfam family "Bacterial small subunit ribosomal RNA", at positions 28 to 507 of the family's 1533-position model. The record is from RNAcentral.
GAUGAACGCUGGCGGCGUGCCUAAUACAUGCAAGUCGAGCGAACGGACGAGAAGCUUGCUUCUCUGAUGUUAGCGGCGGACGGGUGAGUAACACGUGGAUAACCUACCUAUAAGACUGGGAUAACUUCGGGAAACCGGAGCUAAUACCGGAUAAUAUUUUGAACCGCAUGGUUCAAAAGUGAAAGACGGUCUUGCUGUCACUUAUAGAUUGAUCCGCGCUGCAUUAGCUAGUUGGUAAGGUAACGGCUUACCAAGGCAACGAUGCAUAGCCGACCUGAGAGGGUGAUCGGACACACUGGAACUGAGACACGGUCCAGACUCCUACGGGAGGCAGCAGUAGGGAAUCUUCCGCAAUGGGCGAAAGCCUGACGGAGCAACGCCGCGUGAGUGAUGAAGGUCUUCGGAUCGUAAAACUCUGUUAUUAGGGAAGAACAUAUGUGUAAGUAACUGUGCACAUCUUGACGGUACCUAAUCAGAAAGCCACGGCUAACUACGUG